CUACAGAAUAAGGACACUCCUUGGCCCCAAGCCAGCCCCAGCUUGCUCGGGAGCCUGGGUUUCCCCCUCCGUCCCCAUCACCGCGAGGGUCUGUGCAUGGGAAUCUGCUCCAGAGGCUCCCUCAGGCGCCGCGCCGCGGGGAUACGCCUUUCACCGCCCCAGCAAUUGGAGCGCUGAGUCGAAGUCCUGAUUCCACGAUAGGCGGAUGAAGCCCUAACGCUGAAAUUCUUUCCUCUAGGUCUUUGGCAGCGGCUGGGGCCAAAGCCCGGGCAAGACCAACGCCUUCGGCACCCGGACUCAGGCUCCGUCCUCUCUGCCAGCGUGCGGCUACAAUGACUCGACAUGGCAGGCCACUGCCUUCAGAGAAGGUGACAGAGGGCCAUGUCUGAAACAUUCUCCCACAACCAGGAACCCUCAGCAGCCGCUGAAGAGGAAAGGCAGUUAAAUGGAAAGACUUCUGAGCAAGUGGAGGAAAAGUCACGUGUGACCUAGGGAGGGGCUCCCACAGGAAGGGGCAAUGCCCUUGCCCUGUUCACCUAGCCUCCAGGUGGCUUCCCACUUGAAAUUUCAGAGGAUGGCAGAAACCUACUUACAAGGAAAUGAAAGAGGGCACAGCAACCUUAAGACCAGAGCAGCCCACGAUAUUUUUUAAUGAGGGCAAAAAUAGAAGACUUGCAAAAGACCCCUGAAAAUAAUGCCUGGAAGCUGCGAAACAUCAGACUGACACCGCACAAAAGAGGUCCAGCUGAGCAGGAGAAAAGCUUGAGAAGCAUCCAGAACAAUGUAGGUGGAGAGGCUAAGAAGAAAGAGGAGCCCACAUGGAAUGAAUAACCAAGGUCGGGACAGAGGAAGGUUCGCCAGAACUGGGAGGGCUGAAAUUGGAC
RNAcentral lists this long non-coding RNA (884 nucleotides) under Homo sapiens (human). RNAcentral's name for it is "non-protein coding lnc-CFAP100-2:9". The record is from RNAcentral. Lineage: Eukaryota; Metazoa; Chordata; Mammalia; Primates; Hominidae.